Molecule: non-coding RNA, 71 nt
Organism: Trichonephila inaurata madagascariensis
Lineage: Eukaryota; Metazoa; Arthropoda; Arachnida; Araneae; Nephilidae
Source: the annotation of a GenBank genome assembly
GCCGAAAUAGCUCAGUUGGGAGAGCGUUAGACAGCUGAUCUAAAGGUCCCUGGUUCAAUCGGGUUUCGGCA